Molecule: ribosomal RNA, 301 nt
Filed under: uncultured bacterium
Lineage: Bacteria
Description: partial 16S ribosomal RNA
Rfam family: Bacterial small subunit ribosomal RNA
Source: RNAcentral
CAGCCGCCGCGGUAAUACGUAGGUGGCAAGCGUUGUCCGGAAUUAUUGGGCGUAAAGGGCUCGCAGGCGGUUUCUUAAGUCUGAUGUGAAAGCCCCCAGCUCAACCGGGGAGGGUCAUUGGAAACUGGGAAACUUGAGUGCAGAAGAGGAGAGUGGAAUUCCACGUGUAGUGGUGAAAUGCGUAGAGAUGUGGAGGAACACCAGUGGCGAAGGCGACUCUCUGGUCUGUAACUGACGCUGAGGAGCGAAAGCGUGGGGAGCGAACAGGAUUAGAUACCCCAGUAGUCCCUGUCUCUUAUAC